GGAGUUGGACGGAUCAUCGCCGCGGUAUUUAUACCGGGGAGGAAAGUCCGGGCUCCGAAGGGCAGGGUGCCAGGUAACACCUGGGGGGCGUGAGCCUACGGAAAGUGCAGCAGAGAGUAAACCGCCGAUGGCCUCGCAGAGGCACAGGUAAGGGUGAAAGGGUGCGGUAAGAGCGCACC
Molecule: RNase P RNA, 179 nt
Filed under: Desulfovibrio sp.
Lineage: Bacteria; Pseudomonadati; Thermodesulfobacteriota; Desulfovibrionia; Desulfovibrionales; Desulfovibrionaceae
Description: partial RNase P RNA component class A
Rfam family: Bacterial RNase P class A
About the family: Ribonuclease P (RNase P) is a ubiquitous endoribonuclease, found in archaea, bacteria and eukarya as well as chloroplasts and mitochondria. Its best characterised activity is the generation of mature 5'-ends of tRNAs by cleaving the 5'-leader elements of precursor-tRNAs.
Source: RNAcentral